This 414-nucleotide ribosomal RNA is filed under the name uncultured Allobrachymonas sp. Its description in RNAcentral is "bacterial SSU rRNA". It matches the Rfam family "Bacterial small subunit ribosomal RNA", at positions 963 to 1382 of the family's 1533-position model. The record is from RNAcentral. Lineage: Bacteria; Pseudomonadati; Pseudomonadota; Betaproteobacteria; Burkholderiales; Comamonadaceae.
CGAAAACCUUACCCACCUUUGACAUGGCAGGAAUACCUAAGAGAUUGGAGUGCUCGAAAGAGAACCUGCACACAGGUGCUGCAUGGCUGUCGUCAGCUCGUGUCGUGAGAUGUUGGGUUAAGUCCCGCAACGAGCGCAACCCUUGCCAUUAGUUGCUACGAAAGGGGCACUCUAAUGGGACUGCCGGUGACAAACCGGAGGAAGGUGGGGAUGACGUCAAGUCCUCAUGGCCCUUAUAGGUGGGGCUACACACGUCAUACAAUGGCCGGUACAGAGGGUAGCCAACCCGCGAGGGGGAGCCAAUCCCACAAAGCCGGUCGUAGUCCGGAUCGCAGUCUGCAACUCGACUGCGUGAAGUCGGAAUCGCUAGUAAUCGCGGAUCAGCAUGUCGCGGUGAAUACGUUCCCGGGUCUU